CCUACGGGGGGCAGCAGUGGGGAAUAUUGGACAAUGGGGGGAACCCUGAUCCAGCGACGCCGCGUGAGUGAAGAAGUAUUUCGGUAUGUAAAGCUCUAUCAGCAGGGAAGAAAAUGACGGUACCUGACUAAGAAGCCCCGGCUAACUACGUGCCAGCAGCCGCGGUAAUACGUAGGGGGCAAGCGUUAUCCGGAUUUACUGGGUGUAAAGGGAGCGUAGACGGUGCAGCAAGUCUGAUGUGAAAGGUCGGGGCCCAACCCCGGGACUGCAUUGGAAACUGUUGAACUGGAGUACAGGAGAGGUAAGCGGAAUUCCUAGUGUAGCGGUGAAAUGCGUAGAUAUUAGGAGGAACACCAGUGGCGAAGGCGGCUUACUGGACUGUAACUGACGUUGAGGCUCGAAAGCGUGGGGAGCAAACAGGAUUAGAUACCC
RNAcentral lists this ribosomal RNA (432 nucleotides) under uncultured bacterium. RNAcentral describes it as "bacterial SSU rRNA". It matches the Rfam family "Bacterial small subunit ribosomal RNA", at positions 338 to 787 of the family's 1533-position model. The record is from RNAcentral.